Molecule: RNA transcript, 9149 nt
Organism: Paramormyrops kingsleyae
Lineage: Eukaryota; Metazoa; Chordata; Actinopteri; Osteoglossiformes; Mormyridae
Gene name: unconventional myosin-VIIa-like
Source: RefSeq, a predicted model, not a curated record
CUUAUCCGACAGUUUCUCAUGAAUGACAUGAAUAACAUCAGGUGACCUUCAAAAGGAACAGGAAACAUUAAGUGCAGGUGUGAAGUGCUCUGCUAAGACAGUUUGUAUCAGGCUCCUAGGAGCACGACUGAAGUCCCAUAGAACAAAGAAGAAGCCCUUCAUUAAUGAGAAACAGGGAAGAGCCAGGCUACAGUUUGCAGAAAAAUAUUUAUUAUUCACAGACAAACACCCAUAAAUUAAGACAUGAGUUAAGCAAAAAAUUGUGCUGUGAUCUCUUUUCUGUGGCUGUAUAUUAAAGUUUUGAUGUCUUAAUUAUUCUAAACUGAAGAAACGUAGUACAAAUAUACCUUUCACUUGGUUUGUUGGUCCAGAUCUUUGAUUGGUCAUGUAUAUGGCCACAUUGACAAUAGUAACCUGUUAAUUUUCUGUGCUCUUCAUUGUACAGAUAAGGGUAACUUCAGUGUAAUUUAUAAUCUUCGUGGUAUAUUUUAGGAUGUACUGUAUUUGUACUUAUGAAUACUUGCUGGGAAGGGUCACUUGUGUAGUUUGGUUAAUCAGUAACACCGAAUGAAGAUUGAUUAGAUGCUGAAAAAUGAGUGUCAAAAAUAUGCAGAUUUACUUGGCAACUGAUGAUGAAUUUCAGAUUCAGCAUUGCGGCCAUUCAGGAAUCACUCAGAGUGUGCAUUAAUGAAAGGCCCUUAGAAUAAAGUACAUUUUUAUUAAGAAAACGACUGGGUUCUCGUGAAGGGGGACCAUAUAUGGUUGGACCUCAAGACAGAACGGGAGUUUGACGUUCCCCUCGGUGCUGUGGUCAAGCUGUGUAAUUCUGGCCAGAUCCAUGUUCUGGAUGACGAAGGAAACGAGCACUGGCUCUCAUCUCUGAAUGCCACCAACAUCAAGCCUAUGCACCCCACCUCAGUGCACGGGGUGGCCGACAUGAUCUGCCUGGGGGACCUGAAUGAGGCUGGCAUCCUCCGGAACCUUCUCAUCCGCUACCGUGAGCACCUCAUCUACACCUACACAGGGUCGAUCUUGGUGGCAGUGAACCCCUACCAGCUGCUGCCCAUCUACACGGCAGAUCACAUCCGCCUCUAUACCAGAAAGAAGGUGGGCGAGAUGCCACCCCAUAUUUUUGCCAUCGCCGACAACUGCUACUUCAGCAUGCGACGCAGUGCCAAGGACCAGUGCUGUGUCAUCAGUGGGGAAUCUGGAGCUGGAAAGACUGAGAGCACCAAGCUUAUCCUACAGUUCCUGGCGUCCAUCAGCGGGCAGCACUCAUGGAUUGAGAAGCAAGUUCUGGAGGCCACGCCCAUCCUUGAAGCUUUUGGCAACGCCAAGACUAUUCGCAAUGACAACUCAAGCCGCUUCGGAAAAUACAUUGACAUUCACUUCAAUAUCAGAGGGGCGAUUGAAGGGGCCAGGAUUGAGCAAUACUUGUUAGAGAAGUCCAGAGUCUGUAGACAGACUCAAGAUGAGAGAAACUAUCACAUCUUUUACUGCAUGCUGCAGGGCAUGUCCCCUGACAUGAAGAAGAAGCUGUAUCUUGGCAACGCUGUAGAUUAUGACUACCUCACCAUGGGAAAUUGUGUUGUGUGUGAUGGCCGUGAUGACCUUAAGGAGUACUCCAACAUCCUCUCUGCAAUGAAGGUUCUGAUGUUUACUGACACCGAGAGCUGGGAAAUCUCCAAACUACUUGCAGCCAUCUUGCACAUUGGUAACCUGCGCUUUGAAGCCAGAAUGCAUGACAACAUGGAUGCCUGUAUGGUGCUGUGCUCUGUGAACCUCACUACUGCUGCUGCCCUGCUGGAGGUGGACCCUGAGGAGGUGAUGAGCUGCUUGACCAGCAGGACCCUCGUCACUCGAGGAGAAACUGUAUCAACUCUCCUCAAUGUGGAGCAGGGGCUGGAUGUGCGCGAUGCUUUCAUAAAGGGAAUUUAUGGAAGAUUGUUUGUAUGGAUCGUGGACAAGAUUAAUGCUGCCAUCUAUAAACCACCCCCCAGUGACUGUAAAUACAUGCAAACAUCCAUCGGCCUGCUGGAUAUCUUUGGGUUUGAGAACUUUGUUAUUAACAGUUUUGAGCAACUGUGCAUCAACUUUGCCAACGAAAACUUGCAGCAGUUCUUCGUGCACCAUGUGUUCAAGCUUGAGCAGGAGGAGUACAACCUGGAGGGCAUCAGGUGGCAACACAUCGAGUUCACCGACAACCAGGAUGCCCUCGACAUGAUCGCCAUCAAGCCUAUGAACAUCAUUUCUCUCAUUGAUGAGGAAAGCAGGUUUCCAAAGGGCACGGAUGUUACCAUGCUGAAUAAGCUCAACUCCCAGCACAAGCUCAAUCCGAUCUAUAUCCCCCCCAAGCACAGCCGCGAGACGGUGUUUGGCAUUCAACACUUUGCUGGCACUGUUUACUAUGAGACUGCAGGCUUCCUGGAGAAAAACAGAGACGGUCUCCAUGGUGACAUAAUCCAGCUGAUCUACACUUCCAGCAAUAAAUUCAUCAAGCAGAUCUUCCAGACUGACCUUGCCAUGGGGGCAGAGACCAGGAAACGCUCCCCAACCCUGAGCGGUCAGUUCAAGCGCUCCCUGGACCUGCUCAUGAAGACCUUAGGCGCCUGCCAGCCAUUCUUUGUGCGCUGUAUCAAACCUAAUGAGUUCAAGAAGCCUAUGCUGUUUGAGCGGGUGCUCUGCAUUCGGCAGCUCUGCUAUUCUGGCAUGAUGGAGACCAUCCGAAUCCGCCACACCGGCUACCCUAUACGCUACACGUUUGCAGAGUUUGUGGACCGCUACAGAGUCCUUGUGCCUGAUGUCAAACCUGCCUUCAAACAGGGGAACAUGAAAGUAGCAUGUCAGUGCAUCCUGGAGACCAUCGUGGGGAGGGGUGAGGACUGGCAGAUGGGGAAGACCAAGAUUUUCCUUAAGGAUCACCAUGACGUGCGGCUGGAGAUGGAGCGCGACACGGCCAUUACAUGCAAGGUCAUCCUCAUCCAGAAGGCUGUGCGGGGCCUCAGAGACAGAUCCAGAUUUCUCCAGAUCAGGGAUUCUGUGAUACUGAUUCAGAAAAUCUGGAAAGGCCACCACUGCCGAAAGAAUUAUAGAACGAUGCAGAUGGGUUUUCUACGGCUCCAGGCCGUCUAUCGAUCUCGCAAGGUUUACCGAAGCUACAGCGCUGCACGGAGAAGCAUCAUGGUCCUGCAGGCAUGGUCUCGAGGCCUCCUAGUGAGACAGGCCUUCCGGCAUCGUCUGAGGGCUGUCAUCACCGUCCAGGCCCACGCCCGUGGCAUGCUCACUCGCAGGCUGUGCCAGCGGCUCAAAACUGAGGGUCGCCCACCUCCGGAGGAGAAAGAGCGCCUCUUGCUGGCCGAAGACGUAUGGUGGCCUAGAGAGGCAGUGGUUGUGCAGCAGGCCUGGGAAGAUGACGAACAGCUGACCGGCCCAUGUGCCAUGCAGGAAGAGGAGGCACGAGAAGAAGCUUGCCCCAAAAAGGGGGUGCUGUUGCAGGGGAAGUCGGUCCAGCAGGAUCCAGUCAGUGACUCGGAUGUGGUGGAUGAAGUGUUUGGAUUCCUGGGGUCUAAUGGUACCUUCCCUGGGCAGGAGGGGCAGGCCCCCACAGGGUUCGAGGACCUGGAGCGGGAUCCAGGGAAGGCCGAGCAGGUGGAGGAGGUGGACAUGGCCAGAGUUCUCCCUCUCCCUGUGGCUGAGGAGGAGGACCUGUCGGAGUAUAAGUUCGCCAAGUUCGCCGCCACAUACUUCCAGGGCAGUGCCACGCCGUGCCACACGCGGCGCCCCCUCAAACUGCCACUUCUCUUACAUGAAGACGAGGGAGACCAGAUGGCAGCCUUGGCCAUCUGGAUCACGAUACUGAGGUUCAUGGGUGAUCUUCCGGAGCCCAAGAUCCACACUGUCGUCAGUGAUGGCAGCGAAAAGAUUCCCGUCAUGACGAAAAUCUACGAGACCCUCGGGAAGAGGACGUAUAAGCAUGAGCUGAAGGCCCUGCAGGGAGCUGAGGAGAGCACUGAUGUUGUAAGCCACCGUCGAAACACUGCGCGACACAAGCUAGUCUCCCUCACUCUAAAGAGGAAGUCAAAGAUCACGGUGGAGGUGAUCAGGCUUCUGAACGACUUUGACUACAGCGCUCCAGAAAACAGCAUGCUGGAGGAGCGGCCUACCUCCAACCUGGAGAAGCUGCACUUUAUCAUUGGCAAUGGCAUUUUGCGGCCUGCCCUCAGAGAUGAGAUCUACUGUCAGAUCUGCAAGCAGUUGACCCAGAACCCUUCAAAGGCCAGCCACAUACGCGGAUGGCUGCUCAUCUCACUUUGCGUUGGUUGCUUUGCACCCUCUACAAAGUUUAUAAAAUAUCUGCAGAACUUCAUCAACACAGCUCUUCCUGGCUAUGCCCUUUACUUGGAAGACCGGCUAAGAAGAACUGCUAUGAAUGGGACUCGGGCCCAACCACCAUCUUGGCUUGAACUACAAGCCACUAAGUCAAAGAAGCCCAUCAUGCUCCCGGUGACCUUCAUGGACGGCACAACCAAGACCCUGCUGACAGACUCGGCCACCACAGCGAAAGAGCUGUGUGAUACACUGGCAGAAAGGGUCGGCCUGAGCGACACCUUUGGCUUCUCCCUCUACAUUGCCCUGUUUGACAAGGUGUCCUCCCUGGGCAGCGGGAACGACCACGUAAUGGAUGCUGUGUCCCAGUGCGAGCAGUAUGCCAAGGAGCAGGGUGCCCAGGAGCGCAAUGCCCCCUGGAGGCUGUUCUUCCGCAAGGAAAUCUUCACACCUUGGCACAACCCAGGUGAUGACAGUGUGGCCACCAACCUGAUCUACCAACAGAUCGUCCGUGGUGUCAAGUUUGGCGAGUACCGAUGUGACCUGGAGGAGGACCUGGCCCGGCUGGCUGCCCAGCAAUACUUUGCAGAAUAUGGGCGCAACCUGAUACCUGAACGUCUCCUCAGCCUAGUCUCAUCGUAUAUCCCUGACCGUGAGAUUAACUCCUCUAGGACCAUGGAGAAGUGGGCACAAAUGGUCACCACAGCAUUCAAGAAGGGAAUCUGCACUCGAAGCCUGACAGAGGCACAGAGGGUCAAGGAAGAAGUGGUGGACUUUGCACGUUUCAAAUGGCCUUUGCUAUUCUCACGGUUCUUUGAGGCCUUUAAGUUCUCAGGCCCCAGCCUGCCGAAGAAUGAUGUCAUCGUUGCUGUGAACUGGACCGGUGUUUACUUUGUGGACGAUCAAGAGGAGGUCCUCCUGGAGCUCUCCUUCCCAGAAAUCACUGUCGUUUCCAGCAGCAGGGGGGGCAAACUUCUGGGACAGAGCUUCACAUUGGCUACCAUCAAAGGGGAAGAGUAUACCUUCACAUCCAACAACGCUGAGGACAUCCGCGAUCUGGUGGUGAUCUUUCUCGAGGGACUAAGGAGAAGGUCGAAGUUCGUUGUGGCGCUGCAGGACAAUUCAAACUCAGCCACAGAGGACUCAACAUUCCUCGACUUCGCCAGAGGUGACCUCAUCCAACUGGACCAGGACACAGGGGAGCAGGUGAUGAACUCGGGCUGGGCUCAUGGCAUCAACGUUAGGACCAAGGAGAGCGGUGACUUCCCAGUGGACUGUGUCUAUGUGCUUCCUGCUAUCACCAGGCCUCAGUGUGACAUUGCGGCAGUAAUAACUGCAGCUCCGGACCAGCGGAGGGAAUCUUUGGGCCUGUUGGUUCUCCCGCCAGAGGACAGUGUGGAAAAGAGUGCCCCCUAUACACUGGAGGAGUUCUCCUACAACUAUUUCAGGCCCCCACUGAAGGGCACCCUGGCACAAGUGAUGGACUCCAACAGCUGGGGCCAGGAGAAGCUAUGGAGCUGUGCACGACAGCCCAUCAAGCAGCCUUUGCUGAAGAAGAUCCUGAGCCAUGAGGGUCUGUCCCAGGAGGCCUGCGCUGCUUUCACUGUCAUAAUGAAGUACAUGGGCGAUUACCCAUCCAAGAGCACGCGAUCCGUGAAUGAGCUCACCAGCCAGAUAUUUGAGUGUGCCUUAAAGUCAGAGCCCUUGAAGGAUGAGAUCUUCUGCCAGAUCCUUAAGCAACUCACUGAAAAUCAUGUAAAGUACAGCGAGGAGAAGGGCUGGGAGCUGCUGUGGCUCUGCACAGGCCUCUUUCCCCCCAGUAACCUGCUGUUAUCCCAUGUCCAGAAGUUCCUGCAAGCCAGGAAGCACCAUCCACUGGCAGCAGACUGCAUGCAGCGGCUUCUAAAGGCACUUAGGAAUGGUGCCAGAAAAUACCCCCCUCACCUGGUGGAGGUGGAAGCCAUCCAGCACAAGACCACCCAGAUCUUCCAUAAGGUCCACUUCCCCAAUGACACAGACCAGGUGUUUGAAGUGGAGUCAAGCACAAAAGCCAAAGACUUCUGCCUGAGCAUCUCCAGUCGCCUACAACUCAAGUCAGUUGAGGGCUUCAGUUUGUUUGUGAAAAUCUCAGACAGGGUGAUUAGCAUGCCAGAAGGGGACUUCUUCUUUGACUUUGUCAGGCAACUAACAGACUGGAUCCGCACAGCCCGGCCCGCCAAGGAUGGUGCACCACCUUCUUUGACCUACCAGGUGUUCUUCAUGAAGAAACUCUGGACCAAUACUGUUCCAGGGAAAGACUCUGUGGCUGAUUCUGUCUUCCAUUUUUACCAGGAGCUACCCAAAUAUCUCCGUGGCUACCACAGCUGUACACUUGAGGAGGUCCUCCAGCUGGGGGCGCUGAUCUACCGUGUCAAGUUUGAGGAGGACAAGAUCUUCUUCUCCAACAUCCCCAAGAUGCUGAAGGAACUGGUACCCCAGGAUGUCAUAGGGCAGCUCACACUCGAAGACUGGAGACGGGCUCUGGUGGCCUACAUCAAUAAGCAGGCCGGCAAGUCCAAAGAGGAGGCGAAGCUCACAUUUUUAAAGAUCAUCUAUAAGUGGCCAACGUUUGGAUCUGCAUUCUUUGAGGUCAAGCAAACCACCGAGCCAGGGUUCCCAGAGAUUCUGCUGAUAGCGAUCAACAAGCACGGCAUCAGCCUCAUCGACCCAAAGAGCAAGGACAUCCUGAUCACGCACCCUUUCACCAAGAUCUCCAACUGGAGCAGCGGGAACACCUACUUCCACAUCAACAUCGGAAACCUGUUACGGGGCAGUAAACUGCUCUGUGAGACGUCAUUGGGCUACAAAAUGGACGACCUCUUGACCUCCUACGUCAGCCAGAUGCUAACCACCAUGACUAAGCAGCGCAGUUCCCGUGGCAACAGCAGCUGAGCAGACAUUCAACCUCUGAAGAAGGCAACCACUGCAAAUAUCCGACAGCCAAGGCCACAAUGGUGAACUUUGCCCCCUGAGACCAGAUCAAUGCGUCCCGGCCAUCGACAACCUCAACUAUUGAGUGAGUCACCUAAUCUGUGUUUUCAGCUGUCGGUAAUGUAAUAAGCAAAAAAAUUUUCUCAGAACCAAACCUCAAAGACCAAGGCUGAGCCCUGGCACGAAAAUCCCCAUGGAUACACAAAGACAUGCACGGAUAUCUUCUCAAACAUUCUCACAAGCAACCAUAUAGGCCUACUCAUUCAUCCCACACCUACAAACACAUUCAGACAGACAUAGAAAGAUACUGUCUCACUCUUACACAUAUCCUUCCCUGGGGUGGUGUGUAGCUCAGUACAUUAGGUGCUUGUGAUAAUGGCCAGCUGUCAAAUGAUAUCACCACUAGGUCCUUAAUUGGCCUGGGAGGUGGAUGCUGGCUGACCCUUUCCCCAAGCCAUCAACGUUUCUACAUCACGUUCCAACAAAAGCAUCUGCUAAGUAAAUAAAAUUUUCCUAAAUAAAUAUUUACAGUAACACACACACACGCACACAUUAGGACAAAAGCUUCUAGAGAGAGUGUUCAGUUAGGAUUUAGAGUGGCAAACAACCCUGUGCCCACAGUCUCUGCACAGUGGCAUUGUCACAUUUCAGAAUUUUUUUGAAAAUAUUAUGCACAGUAAGUGAAGUCUAUGUUUUAUGUCAGUCUUUCCCAACCUGGUCCUCGGGGACCCCCAGACGGUCCAUGUGUUUGCUCCCUCCCAGCUCCUGGCAAGAACAUAGACUGUCUGAUGGUCCCUGAGCACUGGGUUGAUGACCACUGUGAUGAGAGAGGGAGCUGGGAGGGAGCAAAAACAUGGGCCGUCUAGGGGUCCCUGAGAAUCAGGAUGGGAAACACUUUUGUGUGAUGACCACUGUAAUGAUGUCAAAACACAGUGUACAUACAGAGGUGUCAGCGGGGUCUUGGUAAAUGUUUUAUAUUCAAAAGAUAAAUAGGAAAAUAUAUUUGCUUUAAUAUCUUAAUAUUGGUUUAAGUAGCUAUGUUAUUAACAAGGCUGGAUCUAGUAUUGAGAUGCUAUUGAAGGUCCUGAUUAUUUGUAUCAGGUGUGCUAAAUUAGAGCUGCACCUAAACUCUUCGGGGGAGAGAUCUCUAGGAGCUGGAAUGAGACCCCUUACUUUAGAAGAAUCUCCUCAGUGGUUUUUAUUAGUAACUGUAUGAGCAUUGUAGUACUUCUGGAUCAUCAUCUAUUGUACUUUUCUAAAUGAAUUUUGGGAGGUCCUACGUUAAGACUGAUUUUUUGGAUUAUUGAUUGGUUUGGUGUAAUAGUAGAUAGGGGUGUAGUUUGAGAUGAAUGGAUAGGGGGGCUGUGUGUUUACGAGUUGUUUGUUAAGCAAAGUGAUCCAAUGUGUUUUCUAUGGCAAUCAGGAUGUAAUAGUGUCUAUAAGAAACUGGAAAAUCUUGUGGUUAUGUCACAAAGGGCCUGCAAACUUGAUCCCCCCCCAAACCCAAGAUCAAGGUAUCUGUCGCAAGAUGAUUAUGAAAGGUUCUGGACAUUUUGGUGUCCGUGGAAACCAUGAAAGGCCAGCCAUUGUCCCAGAGGGUUAUAAAAAACAUUUCUAUUGCUCUAUUAUAUUGACUGACACCUGAACCUUGCCAUUCAUAUUAUUAAUCUUAGCCCUAUUUGCUUUAUUUAAGAGAGAAUAAAAAAUCAGGACUUCAACCCACUAUGACCAAGGUUGGGGGGCUAUACUGGGUCACAGAAGCCUGAUAUAAAAUGACUCCCCCAAUUAAAAUUGAAACUGGAGUUAUAUAUUGCAAAACUAUAAAAUAGCUAAAAAAAAACAACAAACUUUGU